GAUGAAGAACGUAGCGAAAUGCGAUAAUUAAUGUGAAUUGCAGAAUUUAGUGAAUCAUCGAAUCUUUGAACGCUCAUUGCGCCCCUUGGUGUUCCGGGGGGCAUGCCUGUUCGAGCGUCAUUUCAACCCUCAAGCUCUGCUUGGUAUUGGGCCGCGCCGGCGACGGCGGGCCUCAAAAACAGUGGCGGCGCCAUCUGGUUCCUCAGCGUAGUAAUUCUUCUCGCUGUUGGGCCCGGGUGGCCGCUGGCCAGCAACCCCAAAUUUUCUAUGGUUGACCUCGGAUCAGGUAGGGAUACCCGAUGAACUUAAGCAUAUCAAUAAGCGGAGGA
This 329-nucleotide unclassified non-coding RNA is filed under the name soil metagenome. RNAcentral describes it as "partial contains 5.8S ribosomal RNA, internal transcribed spacer 2, and large subunit ribosomal RNA". The stretch from base 1 to 120 matches the Rfam family "5.8S ribosomal RNA", at positions 35 to 154 of the family's 154-position model. The record is from RNAcentral.